This 484-nucleotide ribosomal RNA is filed under the name uncultured bacterium. RNAcentral's name for it is "partial 16S ribosomal RNA". It matches the Rfam family "Bacterial small subunit ribosomal RNA", at positions 30 to 507 of the family's 1533-position model. The record is from RNAcentral.
AUUGAACGCUGGCGGCAUGCCUAACACAUGCAAGUCGAGCGGAUGGACGGAGCUUGCUCCUGGAUUCAGCGGCGGGCGGGUGAGUAAUGCCUAGGAAUCUGCCUGGUAGUGGGUUAUAACGUCCGGAAACGGGCGCUAAUACUGCAUACGUCCUGAGGGAGAAAGUGGGGGAUCUUCGGACCUCACGCUCUCAGAUGAGCCUAGGUCGGAUUAGCUAGUUGGUUGGGUAAAGGCCUACCAAGGCGACGAUCCGCAACUGGUCUGAGAGGAUGAUCAGUCACACUGGAAGUGGGACACGGUCCAGACUACUACGGGAGGCAGCAGUGGGGAAUAUUGGACAAUGGGCGAGAGUAUGAUACAGCGAUGCGGCGUGUGUGAAGAAGGUCUUCGGAUUGUAAAGCACUUUUAGGUGGGAGGAAGGGCAGUAAGUUAAUACCUUGCUGGUUUGACGGUAACAACAGAAUAAGCACCGGCUAACUACGUG